Molecule: small RNA, 144 nt
Filed under: Mesorhizobium sp.
Lineage: Bacteria; Pseudomonadati; Pseudomonadota; Alphaproteobacteria; Hyphomicrobiales; Phyllobacteriaceae
Source: RNAcentral
ACAAGUGUUUUAGCGCUAUACGGGAUUGGAAGCCGGUGCGAAUCCGGCACGGUCGCGCCACUGUGAUCGGCACCAGCCGAAAGUCAGGCCUUAUUCCGCAGCAUUGUUCGAUCAACGGGACGCAGUAUCCCACGGGAGGUCAAU